ACUUCUCGAAGGGGUAUUCGGUUGAUCACGUGGCCGAGACGUCUUUUCGUAUGUGGGUGGCUUUUGCAUUACUAUUCGGCUUUUUAUUUGGCUGAAGAGGUGCUGCUUUGUACUUCUCGAAGGAGUAUUCGGUUGAUCACGUGGCCAAGGCGUCUUUUCGUACGUGGGUGGAUUUUGUAUUACUAUUCGGGUUUUUAUUUGGACGAAGAGGUGCUGCGCCUCGUUCGUGGUCGAGUGCUCACGGGAGUCGGUUUGUGUUUGAGGUCUAGUGAGUAUUGCAAAUAUCAAAGGGUUUCUUCGUGCCUCGUUAUUUGAGAUUUGUCGUAUUAAAAUGGUGUAAGGAAGCGUUAUAGCUAUCAUGAAGUUGCAUAGCUUUAGGAAAUUGCGCCUUUAUUUUAUUCACAUAAGCCUUUUAUUGCUACUUUUUGGGCGUAUAUAUAUACAUAUAGGAGUUUAAUUCCCUUUCGUCGCGCAUGUUCUUUGUACCGAGAUAUCAUCUUCAUCUCGUCGUGCUCUUCCUUUAUUAAGGUAUGUCGGUGUGUGUAGUGUGGUUGGGUCUUUCGGGUACACAUGGCUAUAGUCGAGGAAUUGGGCGUGUUUACGGGGUCUUUGUCCGGUACUAAGAGUUCGGCCGAUGUUGGGGAAAUUGAGGUAUCUGCGAGUUCAUCGAGGCGGCUCACAUAGAGUAAUGCUACGGAGAGCACGGGUGACUCCUUCGGAUCGGGGCUUCCUAAUGCCGACAUGGAUCCUCAGGAUUACAAGCAAAAGUUCUCACCGUAAGGUUCCUGAAUAUGAAUGGGUCGACGCGGAGGUAGCGGCCUAUUACUCCCGUUUUUAUGAGAGGGUUGUUGUGGAAUGCUUACUCAAGAGGUGUCGUUUGACUCGUUGGGAGGAUACAGACCCUUACCCCAUAAUGCUUCGCCGACCCCAUAAUGCUUCGCCGUUGUAGGGCCGAAGGUCUUGGUGAGGUUGAUAAGGUCUUCCUCGCAAAGCAAGGAGGCCAAGGUGAUUUUUUUUUAUGUAUGAGUGUGUUUAGGGAUCUAGGUGUGUCCCUUCCUUUUGAUGACUUUCAGAUGGGUGUACUCCGGGUUUUAAACUUGCGCCAACUCAGCUUCAUCCGAAUGGAUGGGCAGUAAUGCAAGCAUUCCGAGUCCUUUGUAAAUAUCACUACAUCGAGCCAAAUUGUUGGACUAUUUUUGUACUCGCCCUUCCACCAAGACUGUGAAAUGGGUGUCCCUCAUAAGGCAUGUAGAUCUUCCUCUAUUCAAGCCAUUUACGUCUUUGUUUAAAGGAUUCAAAUCUGGCUUCUUGAAGGUGAUGAUCGACCUGAUAGCUGGAAGGAAUUACUUUUAUGAUCGGGAAGGAACCUCCUUGUUCCCCUUUUAUUAGACAAGGGUUCCCUGCAAAUAUGACGAGUACCCGACAAAUAUGCUUACUCCCUUUGAGACCAUGACCCUAACAUUGUUAAACACGUUGCCUCGAGAGAUCCUGGCCAGAUUUAUAGUUUUAUUACCCAAGUCUUCCCGACCUCGUUACGAUUUAAAUGGCUUUAUGGCACAGAAGGGUGUAGGGCUUUCAUAUAGGCAGGCAAUUAGGAAUCGUGCCCCGACCAAUGCACUUGCGGAGGACCAUCAAAGCGUGGUCGUAGACAGGGUUGCAGUGGUUGCUGAAGCGCGCUCCCCUCCUCGGGAUAUCCCCCUACCCGAGUCUCAAACUAGGAGGAAAAAAGACAAAUGGAAAAGAAAGAGGGGUGAUUCCUCCCGGCCGAGUGAUGAUGGUUUGAGGCUACACAAAAUUUGACGAACCGAAGGUUCCCAUUCGGACAUGGCCAUUCCUUCGACCCUUAUUGCUCGAGACUUCUUGGCAGAGGAAGUUCGACCUUCUCGAAUGAUGGCUCCUGAUUUGCUAUCUGAGGGGGGUCGUCGAAUGCUUAACUCUGCUAGUCCCUCGGCUCAAUGGGCCAUGACUUGUGAGCUACAAGUGCGCGCAUCGGCAAUUCUCUGAAAGUUGGCUUUGGAGCCAAUAUCUGAAGCAAUGAGUUUGAAGAGCUCUUUGGAUGAGACCCGAUGUUCAUUGCAACACUCCGUCGAGGCUCAUGCCGCGACUUCAGCUGAAAAGCUUUGACUUGAGUCCGAGAUUGCUAGACUUAAGGAGGCUAUGGAUGACAUGGAGGGAUGGUUGGCAGCGACUGAAGAGGCUGAGAGGAUGAGGGCCGAGGAGGUGAAAAAGGCUUUUUAUUUGGCCGAAAAGGUGUUGCUUUGUACUUCUCGAAGGAGUAUUUGGUUGAUCACGUGGCCGAGGCAUCUUUUCGUACGUGGGUGGAUUUUGUAUUACUAUUCAGGUCUUUAUUUGGCCGAAGAGGUGCUGCGCUUCGUUCGUUCGUGGUCGAGUGCUCACGUGAGUCAGUUUGUGUUUGAGGUCCAGUUGGUAUUGCAAAUAUCAGAGGGUUUCUUCGUGCCUCUUUAUUUGAGAUUUGUCGUAUUAAGGUGGUGUAAGGAAGCGUUACAGCUAUCAUGAAGUUGCAUAGCUUUAGGAAAUUGCACCUUUAUUUUAUUCACAUAAGCCUUUUAUCGCUGCUUUUUGGGUGUCUAUAUAUAUAGGAGUUUCGCCACUCCUCCUCUUUUGGCCAAGCCCGAUCCUCAUUUAGAUCUUACCAUUUACAUAGCAGUCUCAAACAAAGCAGUUAGUGCCAUCUUGGUAUAGGAACAAGAACAAAUACCAAUAUACUUCGUCAGUCGAGUCCUCCAAGAAGUCGAAACAGGAUACCAACAUCUCGAGCGGAUAGUUCUAACUUUAGUGCAGACAGCCCGAAGACUCGACCAUUAUUUCCAAAGCCACAAGAUCGUCUUCAGAAUAGACGGCCCAAUAGCCAAAGUGUUACAAAAGCCCGAAUUAGCAGGCCAGAUGAUGGCAUGGUCAGUAGAGUUAUCCCAGUUCGACAUCUGCUUCGAAGCACGGGGACCCAUCAAGGCUUAGAGAAUGGCCGAUUUUCUAAAAGAAUUCCACCCUGACAACACCCCAAAAGUAGUGGCCUGGACGUUACAUGUGGAUAGAUCAUCCAAUCAAUAGGGCAGUAGAGCAGGCAUCAUACUAGAAAGGCCAGGACAAAUGUUGGUAGAACAGUCGAUACGUUUCGGCUUCAAAACCUCAAACAACCAAGCUGAGUAUGAGGCGUUGUUGGACGAUUUGCGAUUGGCACAAGAACUAAGGGUACAAAGAGUUAAUUGCUAGAGCAAUUCCCAGAUUGUGACCGAAGAGGUCAAUGGCACAUUUCAAAUCAAGGAGCCCACGUUACUCCGGUACUUUCAUGCAUUUCAAAAGGUUAAGUCUAACUUUGAAGAGGUCUAAGUACAUCACACACCAAGAGAACUCAAUGCGAGGGCUGACCGAUUAGCCAAGCUAGCAAGCAGCAAAAGGGCAAACCAAUUGCACAGUGUGAUUCAAAUCUGGUUUCUUGAAGGUGAUGAUCGACCCGAUAGAUGGAAGGAACUACUUUUAUGAUCGGGAGGGAACCCCCUUGUUCCCCUUUUAUUGGACAAGGGUUCCCUGCAAAUAUGACGAGUACCCGACAAACAUGCUUACUCUCUUUAAGACCACAACCCUAACGUUGUUAAACACGUUGCCCCGAGAGAUCCCAGCCAGAUUUCUAGUUUUAUUACCCAAGUCUUCCCGACCUCAUUAUGAUUUAAAUGGCUUUAUGGCACAGAAGGGUAUAGGGCUUUCAUAUAGGCAGGAAAUUAGGAAUUGUUAUCCGACCAAUGCACUAGCGGAGGACCAUCGAAGCGUGGUCGUAGACGGGCCACAGUGGUUGUUGAAGCGCACUCCCCUCCUCGGGAUAUCCCCCUACCUGAGUCUUAGACUAGGAGAGAAAAGACAGAGGGAAAAGAGAGUGGUGAUUCCUCCUGGCCGAGUGAUGAUGGUUUGAGGCUGCACAAAAGUCGACAAACCGAAGGUUCCCAUUCGGACCUGGCCAUUCCUUCGGCCCUUAUUGCUCGAGACUUCUUGGCACAGGAAGUUCGACCUUCUUGAAUGAUGGCUCUUGAUUUGCUAUCUGAGGGGGGUCAUCAGAUGCUUAACUCUACUAGUCCCUCGGCUCAAUGGGCCAUGGCUUGUUUGCUACAAGUACGUGCAUCGGCAAUUCUCUAAAAGUUGGCUUUGGAGCCAAUAUCUGAAGCAAGGAGUUUGAAGAGUUCUUUGGAUGAGACCCGACGAUUAUUUCAACACUCCGUCGAGGCUCAUGCCGCGACUUCAGCUGAAAAGCUUCGACUUGAGUCCGAGAUUGCUAGACUUAGGGAGGUUAUGAACGACAUGGAGGGACGGUUGGCAGCGGCUGAAGAGGUUGAGAGGAUGAGGGUCGAGGAGGUGAAGGAGGCUUUGGGUCGUGAGGCCAAAACCAAAGAAGAAGCUGCUACAACAUUGAGGGAUCUUCGCAAGGAGUGUUAAAAUCAGAUUGUGCAUGAGCAUGAGGCAGGUUUCAUGCAUGCUGUCCGAUAAGCUACCUAUUUCUGUCAUGUGCCUUCCGAUUUCACCUUCAAGGUGACUAAGGAUUUCUACAAAGGCACUUAUAUGGAUUUUACUAAGAUGCCAGGGGAUGCUAAGCCAGAUGAUAUUGCCCCUGCUCGUUGAGGCAACCGAGGGGGUCCUGGAACAACCUGCCAAGAUGACGAGGAGACCCAUUAUGGCCCUGGUGAUGACCACACCAUCUCCGGUAUGUGAGAUGGGUCAGGUUCCUCCCUCUUGGCUGUUUGUAGAAGCCUUAGGCAGGAAAGUUGACUUUUAUUUUUUGUGGGGUUGGGUGUUAUGUUGUGCUUUUUAAACCUUGUCGAUGUAUGUGUAUUGGAGCUUUGAAUGCUUUUAUUUUGUGGAUACCCAAGCGAUUGCCAAACUUAAUGAGAAUCUAUUGUGUAUCA
Long non-coding RNA from Cajanus cajan (pigeon pea), 4910 nucleotides. RefSeq lists it as uncharacterized. Lineage: Eukaryota; Viridiplantae; Streptophyta; Magnoliopsida; Fabales; Fabaceae. The record is from RefSeq and is a predicted model, not a curated record.